RNAcentral lists this ribosomal RNA (348 nucleotides) under Harmonia eucharis. RNAcentral's name for it is "partial 12S ribosomal RNA". The record is from RNAcentral. Lineage: Eukaryota; Metazoa; Arthropoda; Insecta; Coleoptera; Coccinellidae.
AAAUAUGUAAAUUAAAAAGCUAAGUGAUUAAUAGUUAAGAUCUUUAAAGCUAAAUAAUUUGGCGGUAUUUUUACUUUUCAGAGGAACCUGUUCUAUAAACGAUAAUCCACGAUUAAAUUAACUUUAAUUAAGAAAUUUUUAUACCGUCGUUGUUAAAUAUUUUUAUAGAAAUUAAUAUUUAAAUAUUUUUUAAAAAUUUAAAUCAGAUCAAGGUGAAGUUUAUAUUAAAGAAGAAAUGGGUUACAUUAAAUUAUAUUUAUGGAUUAAUAUAUUUUAAAAAUUUUAUAAAAUUGGAUUUGAACGUAAUUAAAUAAUAUUUAUUUUUAAUGAUUUAGUUCUAAAAUAUGU